This 261-nucleotide long non-coding RNA is filed under the name Lathyrus oleraceus (garden pea). Its description in RNAcentral is "Pisum sativum (pea) long non-coding RNA (PSAT_LNC019927)". Lineage: Eukaryota; Viridiplantae; Streptophyta; Magnoliopsida; Fabales; Fabaceae. The record is from RNAcentral.
CGUGGCUGUUAGGGCUUUUAUGUUUCAUGAAGAGAAGAUGACGCGUGGCACGCUGCGAGGCCGUCCGAUCGUGCGCGCCAGUUUUAAUCUUACCCGUCCAGGCUUGUUUUUGUCUUUUAGUAACUUACUCCAGCAUGACCGAUUGACACAAGUUGACAUGUUUAUUUUAAUGAAACAUUUUAUUUAAUGUCACAUGCUGAUUAAUUCCUUGGACCGGACUGGGUUGGGCUUCCUUCACGCGCGCUGUUGACACCCCCUCAU